UUUAGCAUGUGUUAGUGGUAAAUAGUUGCUUUCCAAGCAGUUGCCUGAGGUUCGAUUCCCAGCAUUGAAC
Non-coding RNA from Danionella cerebrum, 70 nucleotides. NCBI's taxonomy places the organism in Eukaryota, Metazoa, Chordata, Actinopteri, Cypriniformes, Danionidae. The record is from the annotation of a GenBank genome assembly.